This 253-nucleotide ribosomal RNA is filed under the name uncultured bacterium. RNAcentral's name for it is "partial 16S ribosomal RNA". It matches the Rfam family "Bacterial small subunit ribosomal RNA", at positions 524 to 776 of the family's 1533-position model. The record is from RNAcentral.
UACGGAGGGAGCUAGCGUUGUUCGGAAUUACUGGGCGUAAAGCGUACGUAGGCGGUUAUUCAAGUCAGAGGUGAAAGCCCGGGGCUCAACCCCGGAACGGCCUUUGAAACUAGAUAGCUAGAGUCUUGGAGAGGUUAGUGGAAUUCCGAGUGUAGAGGUGAAAUUCGUAGAUAUUCGGAAGAACACCAGUGGCGAAGGCGACUAACUGGACAAGUACUGACGCUGAGGUACGAAAGCGUGGGGAGCAGACAGG